AUUUGAUGUUGAGGGCAUUUGUUACAUAUUUCUUAAACCUCUCCCAAUACUCAUAGAGAGACUCACCUGGGUGUUGUUUGAUACCACAGAUUUCCUUCUUUAAACU
Molecule: non-coding RNA, 106 nt
Organism: Coffea arabica (coffee)
Lineage: Eukaryota; Viridiplantae; Streptophyta; Magnoliopsida; Gentianales; Rubiaceae
Source: RefSeq, a predicted model, not a curated record